This 116-nucleotide ribosomal RNA is filed under the name Anopheles farauti. Lineage: Eukaryota; Metazoa; Arthropoda; Insecta; Diptera; Culicidae. The record is from RNAcentral.
GUCAACGACCAUACCAUGAAAACACCGGCUCUCGUUCGAUUACCGAACUUAAGCAACAUCGGGCAUAGCUAGUAUUUAGAUGGGUGACCACUUGGGUUAACCAUGUGUCGUUGGCG